AGUGAACGCUGGCGGUAGGCCUAACACAUGCAAGUCGAACGGCGGCACAGUAAGAGCUUGCUCUUACGGGUGGCGAGUGGCGGACGGGUGAGGAAUACAUCGGAAUCUACUUUUUCGUGGGGGAUAACGUAGGGAAACUUACGCUAAUACCGCAUACGACCUACGGGUGAAAGCAGGGGAUCUUCGGACCUUGCGCGAUUGAAUGAGCCGAUGUCGGAUUAGCUAGUUGGCGGGGUAAAGGCCCACCAAGGCGACGAUCCGUAGCUGGUCUGAGAGGAUGAUCAGCCACACUGGAACUGAGACACGGUCCAGACUCCUACGGGAGGCAGCAGUGGGGAAUAUUGGACAAUGGGCGCAAGCCUGAUCCAGCCAUACCGCGUGGGUGAAGAAGGCCUUCGGGUUGUAAAGCCCUUUUGUUGGGAAAGAAAAGCAGCAGGUUAAUACCCCGCUGUUCUGACGGUACCCAAAGAAUAAGCACCGGCUAACUUCG
RNAcentral lists this ribosomal RNA (490 nucleotides) under uncultured bacterium. RNAcentral's name for it is "partial 16S ribosomal RNA". It matches the Rfam family "Bacterial small subunit ribosomal RNA", at positions 29 to 505 of the family's 1533-position model. The record is from RNAcentral.